Molecule: ribosomal RNA, 490 nt
Filed under: uncultured bacterium
Lineage: Bacteria
Description: partial 16S ribosomal RNA
Rfam family: Bacterial small subunit ribosomal RNA
Source: RNAcentral
AUUGAACGCUGGCGGCAUGCCUUACACAUGCAAGUCGAACGGCAGCAUGAUCUAGCUUGCUAGAUUGAUGGCGAGUGGCGAACAGGUGAGUAAUACAUCGGAACGUGCCCUGUAGUGGGGGAUAACUAGUCGAAAGAUUAGCUAAUACCGCAUACGACCUGAUGGUGAAAGUGGGGGACCGCAAGGCCUCAUGCUAUAGUAGCGGCCGAUGUCUGAUUAGCUAGUUGGUGAGGUAAAGGCUCACCAAGGCGACGAUCAGUAGCUGGUCUGAGAGGACGAUCAGCCACACUGGGACUGAGACACGGCCCAGACUCCUACGGGAGGCAGCAGUGGGGAAUUUUGGACAAUGGGCGAAAGCCUGAUCCAGCAAUGCCGCGUGUGUGAAGAAGGCCUUCGGGUUGUAAAGCACUUUUGUCCGGAAAGAAAUGGCUCUGGUUAAUACCUGGGGUCGAUGACGGUACCGGAAGAAUAAGGACCGGCUAACUACGUG